This is a non-coding RNA of Pelobates cultripes (western spadefoot toad), 211 nucleotides long. The record is from the annotation of a GenBank genome assembly. Lineage: Eukaryota; Metazoa; Chordata; Amphibia; Anura; Pelobatidae.
AUUUUUUCCCUCUGGAGCAUUCUGAUCGAUUAAUUCCUUUCUCUCUCUUCCAAAUCUUCUAUAGACACAGCAUUUCUGCAGAGUCUAUAACGUGGUGCAACAAAAAUAAAUAAAAAAUAAAAAAUCAAGACAACGCUGAGAGAAAUACUGAAAAUGAACAAGAGAGAAAAAAAUAAUAAUAAUUAAAAUGCAGCAGUUAAGAUCAGUAAUU